GUAUGUGAAAGUGUAAAAUAGAAUGUUACUUUAGAAUGACUAUAAACAUUAAAAGAGACUGAAAACAUAC
Molecule: non-coding RNA, 70 nt
Organism: Papio anubis (olive baboon)
Lineage: Eukaryota; Metazoa; Chordata; Mammalia; Primates; Cercopithecidae
Source: Rfam